Molecule: long non-coding RNA, 544 nt
Organism: Homo sapiens (human)
Lineage: Eukaryota; Metazoa; Chordata; Mammalia; Primates; Hominidae
Product: long intergenic non-protein coding RNA 661
Source: Ensembl
AGCAGUUGGGGCCUGGUCAGAGGGGAUACGGCAGCUGGGGGUUAUUUGGCAGGGAUGCAGCAGCUGGGACCUGGUAGGGCCCCGUCAUGACAGAGGCUGUGAACCCAUGCUGUCACUGUGCCAAGUGCCGCCAGCCUACCUCCGUGUCAUGGAGCAGUUGGAGACACAGAGGUGCUGUAAGUGGUUGUGCAGAAAGGACCCUUUUCUGGGUGAGAAGCACAUCUCAGCACCGCUGCCUGAUCAGACUCAGGAAAGCGUGACCUGCUCUCUUCCCCCCUGCUGACUUGGGGACAGUCACAACCAGGAUGGACGUGGAGGAAGACGUGGCUACCCUACUUGCACAGGAGCAGGGGGCAUCAUUGCCCAGUGUGAGCAGGGACGCUGUAGGGCCCAAGGAUGUGGACAGCUUACAAAGUUACCGAUCGCCUCGAGAUUCUGCAGUGAGUCCUCUGUCCCUGCUGCCCGACCAUCACCAAACUCACCUCAGAGGAUGAGUUUUGUUUUUAGAAAAGCCUCUCUGAGGCAGGACACGUCUUCCCAGCUU